This 61-nucleotide transfer RNA is filed under the name Vibrio crassostreae. RNAcentral describes it as "tRNA-Met". It matches the Rfam family "tRNA", at positions 7 to 64 of the family's 71-position model. From Rfam's summary of the family: Transfer RNA (tRNA) molecules are approximately 80 nucleotides in length. Their secondary structure includes four short double-helical elements and three loops (D, anti-codon, and T loops). Further hydrogen bonds mediate the characteristic L-shaped molecular structure. tRNAs have two regions of fundamental functional importance: the anti-codon, which is responsible for specific mRNA codon recognition, and the 3' end, to which the tRNAs corresponding amino acid is attached (by aminoacyl-tRNA synthetases). tRNAs cope with the degeneracy of the genetic code in two manners: having more than one tRNA (with a specific anti-codon) for a particular amino acid; and 'wobble' base-pairing, i.e. permitting non-standard base-pairing at the 3rd anti-codon position. The record is from RNAcentral. Lineage: Bacteria; Pseudomonadati; Pseudomonadota; Gammaproteobacteria; Vibrionales; Vibrionaceae.
AUGGAGCAGUUUGGUAGCUCGUCGGGCUCAUAACCCGAAGGUCGUCGGUUCAAAUCCGGCU